AACUAACGCUGGCGGCGUGCCUAACACAUGCAAGUCGUACGAGAAAGCCGGCUUCGGCUGGUGAGUAAAGUGGCGCACGGGUGAGUAACGCGUGGAUAAUCUGCCCUUAAGUGUGGAAUAACGUACCGAAAGGUGCGCUAAUACCGCAUAAUGCCUGGCAACACAAGUUGUCCGGCCAAAAGAAGGCCUCUGUUUACAAGCUUUCGCUUCAGGAUGAGUCCGCGUACCAUUAGCUUGUUGGUGGGGUAAUGGCCUACCAAGGCUGCGAUGGUUAGCUGGUCUGAGAGGAUGAUCAGCCACACUGGAACUGAGACACGGUCCAGACUCCUACGGGAGGCAGCAGCUAAAGAAUAUUCCGCAAUGGACGAAAAGUCUGACGGAGCGACGCCGCGUGGAUGAAGAAGGCCGAAAGGUUGUAAAAGUUCUUUUGCUAGGGGAGAAUAAGUGAGGGAGGGAAUGCCCUCAUGAUGACAAGGACAGCGAAAAACGCCCCGA
Molecule: ribosomal RNA, 495 nt
Filed under: uncultured bacterium
Lineage: Bacteria
Description: bacterial SSU rRNA
Rfam family: Bacterial small subunit ribosomal RNA
Source: RNAcentral